CCGGGCAACGGCGGGCUGCUCUGAGGCGACGCCCUGGCCACGCCCCCUCUCGGCGGUGACCACGCCCUCUCCCGGCGGCGGCCACGCCCCUUCUCGGCGGCGGCCACGCCCCCCCACGUGCUGCCUGGCUCCUGGGGCAGCGCCGGGUGCUUCAGGCCGAGCCGCUGCCCCCGGGGUGGGGGGGACAGGGCCGGGGGGGGUUAUGGGACCCCCCCUUUGGGCACAACCCCUUGAUUUUACCACUGUGGCAUCGCCUGGCGCUGGGGGAAACUAAAAUAACGCGACAUYUAGGCCGACCUGUGCUGAAGAGGGAGCCGGAGGCCAAAUAUCUGUGCUGUAAUGGGCAACGUUUCGCUUGGCAUCCUGUUACGGGAACCCCCAGGAGCCACCGUGACUGUGUCCCUCCGUCGACGUCGCCUGGCGUCCCCGCUUCCCUGCUCCGAGCCGGGGGGCUCCUCGGGAGCCCUCUGGGAGAUGGAAAACUGUCCUGCUCACGGCAGAGCGGCGCUCGGAGAGCCUGGGGCUGCGGGACGGCUGCUUUGGGGACGUCCGGCUCCGCAGCAAUGACCGGCCAGCAGGGACCUGCUUGA
Molecule: long non-coding RNA, 590 nt
Filed under: Dromaius novaehollandiae (emu)
Lineage: Eukaryota; Metazoa; Chordata; Aves; Casuariiformes; Dromaiidae
Description: lncRNA (ENSDNVG00000006610.1)
Source: RNAcentral